This 1647-nucleotide ribosomal RNA is filed under the name Triticum aestivum (bread wheat). Its description in RNAcentral is "partial small subunit ribosomal RNA". The record is from RNAcentral. Lineage: Eukaryota; Viridiplantae; Streptophyta; Magnoliopsida; Poales; Poaceae.
AUGAUUCUAUCUCAGCACAAGAAGCUGCGGACAAUUUUUAUCAAUGAAUCAUUGAACCAGACUGCUCUUAUUCCUAUAAUUGACUGUUGGUCCAGUGCCUUGAAAUAUCUCCGUUUUCUGUCUUGUGGCUUUAAUGCUAUAAAGGUGCUGCCUGAGACUGUUGCUCGUUUUAAGCUUCUGAGGUGCUUAAAGUUUGGAAGCUCCAGGACUUGUACUUUUCAUACAUUCCCAGAGUCAUACUGUUGCCUUUAUAAUCUGCAAACGUUCGUGGGGCUAGGCUUCAUAUUCCAGAACUUACCAAGGAACUUCACUAGACUUGUCAACUUGCAGCACUUCAGAAUUAAUACUCUUACUCAUCAGAGACACUGCACACUAUAUUCUGUUCCUUCCGAGUUCGCCCAUAUCAGAUUGCUAAGGUACAUGAAUCUUAAGGGAGAACUGAAUCUGGAAGGCAUGUCCUAUCUGCAACCAAAUGAUGUACAACAGCUCGAAAUGAGCAAAAGAAAGGAUAUUCGGAAACUAAUAUUAGCUUUUGACCAGGGUAGGGGCACCUCUGAUAGUGAUAUGGAAGUUCUUGAGGCUCUUUGCCCCCAUCCAGAUGUUAUUCAGUGCCUGGAUAUCAAGUAUUUCAAAGGCGACUUAAAUCCUACUUGGUUUAAGCCAUCAAACCUGCAGAGCUUAAUGCAGCUCCAGUUCAUAACAUGUGAUAUACGUACAGUAUCUUGGGGUGGUGACCAUGCUGGCACUAUGUUCUCAGCUCUCACUUUUUUGAACAUUUCUAUGUGCAGCAGACUGUCUUCGCUUGAACAACUUCUACAGGCACCUGGUCUUCCAGCAAUCAGAAUAAUUAGUAUUGACCGUUGCCCAGAGUUGGUGAACCUUUUUGUUGAAACCUUUAAAGCUUUUGAAUGUCUUGAAACACUGAGCAUCUGGAGCUGCCCAAAGAUUAAUUGGGAAAGGCUUGUUGGGUUGCCGCCUUCAUUGCAAUAUCUGAACAUGAUUGAUUUUGGUCAAUUUUCUGAUCACUUUCUGAGCUGCCUAGAACAUCUAGCAUCGCUACUGAAACUGAAUUUAUCUUCUGAAUCUUUGACUUCAAUUCCCAUACAACAAUGGUCAUCUCUACUGCGCCUGGAUGUUUGGAACUGUAGCAAAUUAACAACAGUUGACUUCACUCCUCGUUCCUUACCAGCAGUAAAAGUAAUCACAAUUCGAAAUUGUGAAGCUUUAUUGUCUCUACCUGGCAAAACGUUUGUGGAGUUCUGUUGUCUAGAGGAAUUGAUGAUACGUGAAUGUCCAAAUAUUGAGUGGAGAGGCUUGACAUUUCCUAUAUCGCUUCGGGAGCUGUACCUCAAUGACUGUGGAGACAUCUCACCAUGGGUUCCGAACUCACUGGAGCACCUCAACCACUUAACCCAUCUGGCGUUGAUGAACCUCAAGUACAUCAAAUCAAUCUCUGCACAAAUAUGGGCACAGAGUUUGUCAAAGCUGGAAUUCUUGCAGAUCUGUGAGUGUCCUCAUCUGCAAGCGAUUGGUGGUCCCAAAGGAAUUGCAGGCAUUACUAAUGCAUUUGUUGAAUCGUGUGACAAGCUAAAGGGUAUAAAGCAACCUUUCCGGAGAGGUAGAAUGGCCCACUUCGGCCACUUUUGA